This 468-nucleotide ribosomal RNA is filed under the name uncultured bacterium. RNAcentral describes it as "partial 16S ribosomal RNA". It matches the Rfam family "Bacterial small subunit ribosomal RNA", at positions 28 to 507 of the family's 1533-position model. The record is from RNAcentral.
GACGAACGCUGGCGGCGUGCUUAACACAUGCAAGUCGAACGGAAAGGCCCUGCUUUUGUGGGGUGCUCGAGUGGCGAACGGGUGAGUAACACGUGAGUAACCUGCCCUUGACUUUGGGAUAACUUCAGGAAACUGGGGCUAAUACCGGAUAGGAGCUCCUGCUGCAUGGUGGGGGUUGGAAAGUUUCGGCGGCUGGGGAUGGACUCGCGGCUUAUCAGCUUGUUGGUGGGGUAGUGGCUUACCAAGGCUUUGACGGGUAGCCGGCCUGAGAGGGUGACCGGCCACAUUGGGGCUGAGAUACGGCCCAGACUCCUACGGGAGGCAGCAGUGGGGAAUAUUGCACAAUGGGCGGAAGCCUGAUGCAGCAACGCCGCGUGCGGGAUGACGGCCUUCGGGUUGUAAACCGCUUUCGCCUGUGACGAAGCGUGAGUGACGGUAAUGGGUAAAGAAGCACCGGCUAACUACGUG